UUGGUGAGGUAACGGCUCACCAAGGCAACGAUGCGUAGCCGACCUGAGAGGGUGAUCGGCCACACUGGGACUGAGACACGGCCCAGACUCCUACGGGAGGCAGCAGUAGGGAAUCUUCCGCAAUGGACGAAAGUCUGACGGAGCAACGCCGCGUGAGUGAUGAAGGUUUUCGGAUCGUAAAACUCUGUUGUUAGGGAAGAACAAGUACCGUUCGAAUAGGGCGGUACCUUGACGGUACCUAACCAGAAAGCCACGGCUAACUACGUGCCAGCAGCCGCGGUAAUACGUAGGUGGCAAGCGUUGUCCGGAAUUAUUGGGCGUAAAGCGCGCGCAGGCGGUUUCUUAAGUCUGAUGUGAAAGCCCCCGGCUCAACCGGGGAGGGUCAUUGGAAACUGGGGAACUUGAGUGCAGAAGAGGAGAGUGGAAUUCCACGUGUAGCGGUGAAAUGCGUAGAGAUGUGGAGGAACACCAGUGGCGAAGGCGACUCUCUGGUCUGUAACUGACGCUGAGGCGCGAAAGCGUGGGGAGCGAACAGGAUUAGAUACCCUGGUAGUCCACGCCGUAAACGAUGAGUGCUAAGUGUUAGAGGGUUUCCGCCCUUUAGUGCUGCAGCAAACGCAUUAAGCACUC
RNAcentral lists this ribosomal RNA (630 nucleotides) under Bacillus sp. enrichment culture clone 1PS36. RNAcentral's name for it is "bacterial SSU rRNA". It matches the Rfam family "Bacterial small subunit ribosomal RNA", at positions 249 to 869 of the family's 1533-position model. The record is from RNAcentral. RNAcentral also lists the same sequence under 1 other name. Lineage: Bacteria; Bacillati; Bacillota; Bacilli; Caryophanales; Bacillaceae.